AAAGAAGGUUGUUCUGCAAGCGAGAUUCAAUAUGUAGAGGGAAGACACGUUAGUUUCCCCCACAGCCGUCAUCUUGUCCUCUCAUGGGCGCCAUGACGGUGUGCAGGGCCGUAGUAGCUCCGAAGCCAUCAGAGACAGUGAAGAAGAGCACAGGCGGUGUCGAGUCCUACCCUGCAGCAUGUGGUUUGACCAUGGGAAUCUCCUCUGCCGGAAUACCUCCUCCCCGGUACACCAAGAACGUGCUCUGCCAGCCGCCUAGCGCCUAGACGGAUUGUUUUGGGGUGCAGAAUUAGUCGGGUCAGGGAAUCCUCGGCCUCAGGCCCAGCUAAUUACUUUCCAAUGCGACGACAAUUCUUUUGAAGAGCGGUUUUCUCGCUGGCCAAAUCCCUUUAAAAGCGUCUUGGGGGUGCAAAGAGGGCAGAGAGGGAGUGAGCUGUGGCGGGCCACACCAGGGCCAGAGGGGGUACUCGUGUUACACUAUGCCUGCCGCGAUGCAUUGUUGGUGGGACGCAGAGGCUCCAGUGCCCCCCCACCAC
Gasterosteus aculeatus aculeatus (three-spined stickleback) is the source of this 536-nucleotide long non-coding RNA. The record is from Ensembl. Lineage: Eukaryota; Metazoa; Chordata; Actinopteri; Perciformes; Gasterosteidae.